GCCUUUGUGGUGUAAUGGUUAACAUACUUGGUGCGUAUUUAAGAGGUCCGAGGUUCGAGUCCCGGUGAGCGCA
This 73-nucleotide transfer RNA is filed under the name Stegodyphus mimosarum. It matches the Rfam family "tRNA". Rfam says of the family: Transfer RNA (tRNA) molecules are approximately 80 nucleotides in length. Lineage: Eukaryota; Metazoa; Arthropoda; Arachnida; Araneae; Eresidae. The record is from Rfam by way of RNAcentral.